Molecule: RNA transcript, 1188 nt
Organism: Quercus robur (English oak)
Lineage: Eukaryota; Viridiplantae; Streptophyta; Magnoliopsida; Fagales; Fagaceae
Exons: 8
Source: RefSeq, a predicted model, not a curated record
UGCUAUUCCCCAAUCUGCGAGUGAGUGCUUUUGCUCUGAUAAAAAAAAGGAAAAAAAAAAUGGAAUUUAUUGUUGAAGAAGGCAAGAAACCUCAUGACCAGUGCUCCACUCUCCUUCUGCCAGCUUUAUCGAUUGGGAAUGUGGGGCAAUUGGCAAUGGAUCUUAUGGUAUCGUCAACAAGAGCAGAAAGAAUUGGGUUUUUCGAUGACCCUUUUCUUCUUCCUUGUGUAGGAAACGAUGCCUAUGGUCCUCAACCUCAAGGCCAACUAGCUCUUCCUCUUGAAGCUUAUGAUUCCCCCUCUAAUGCACUGACACUCGUCCAACAAAGGUCUCCGGUUGUUAAGGGGAAGAUGGUUGAAUUUGCUAAAAACUUGGCUGAUUUUGCUGCUGCUACUGGAAAGAAACAUGCCAUUGUGCUCUCUAGCUUAGAUUUUGGGAGGUGUCGAAAUAUUGAUAUGUCAAGUGGUUUGCAGACAUACUACUUGUCUAGCACCAAUUCUGAUGGAACAGAUGAUUACUGCGAGCAACUUGGGUGGAAAAGACUGCAGGAAUACAACCCUACUCAGAGAUGUUGGAAAUAUCUCAGCACUUUAGCUGAAGGAAAUGCCUUGCAGGAUGACAACCCUUUUGAAGAUGAAUUAGAAGAAGAAGAUUACUACCCAAGCUUGCCCUUUGCUGCACUUUUUUCUUGUUUUAAGCUGUCUGGUUUUUUCAAAGGUGAAGGCGACCUUAAGGUGCUAGGGCCUUGUAUUACCCAAGGCGUUAGGAGACAAAAAGACGCUAGCCCGAGUAAAGCAAGGCCAAAGGUUUAAAAGUCACCUGCUUAUUAUGCUACUGCUCAGAAGGGGACAACAUACAGGAUGCUUUCCAUUUGGCUGAGGCAGCAUGCAAACUUCUGGGUCUUAGUCCCAGUAAUUUCCACGGCAAUGAGGGUAAUGGAUGGCUCAUUCCAUAUUCGUGGAAGAGUGUGUAUGGACCACCUCCAGAUAUGUCUAUCUUCUAGGCUGUAUUGACCUGAGAUUGGAUCUGCAAGAACAAGAGUACUCCUUGAAUUCUCAUUGUUGUUUCAUCAAAGGGUGCGAAAAUCAAACAGUGCAUCCAUUGUAUCUUGCAUAUGUAAACGUUAGGUUCCAUUUUUUAGCAAUGGAUUAGUCAAUAUAGAAUCAAUGAUUUGAAUAUCGUUUUCCA